ACGCACGCUUGCGGCGUGCUUCACACAUGCAAGUCGCACGGAAAGGCCCUGCUUUUGUGGGGUGCUCGAGUGGCGAACGGGUGAGUAACACGUGAGUAACCUGCCCUUGACUUUGGGAUAACUUCAGGAAACUGGGGCUAAUACCGGAUAGGAGCUCCUGCUGCAUGGUGGGGGUUGGAAAGUUUCGGCGGUUGGGGAUGGACUCGCGGCUUAUCAGCUUGUUGGUGGGGUAGUGGCUUACCAAGGCUUUGACGGGUAGCCGGCCUGAGAGGGUGACCGGCCACAUUGGGACUGAGAUACGGCCCAGACUCCUACGGGAGGCAGCAGUGGGGAAUAUUGCACAAUGGGCGGAAGCCUGAUGCAGCAACGCCGCGUGCGGGAUGACGGCCUUCGGGUUGUAAACCGCUUUCGCCUGUGACGAAGCGUGAGUGACGGUAAUGGGUAAAGAAGCACCGGCUAACUACGUG
RNAcentral lists this ribosomal RNA (467 nucleotides) under uncultured bacterium. RNAcentral's name for it is "partial 16S ribosomal RNA". It matches the Rfam family "Bacterial small subunit ribosomal RNA", at positions 29 to 507 of the family's 1533-position model. The record is from RNAcentral.